GUGAGUGAUGAAGGUUUUCGGAUCGUAAAGCUUCUGUUGUUAGGGAAGAAACAAGUACCGUUCGAAUAGGGCGGUACCUUGACGGUACCUAACCAGAAAGCCACGGCUAACUACGUGCCAGCAGCCGCGGUAAUACGUAGGUGGCAAGCGUUGUCCGGAAUUAUUGGGCGUAAAGGGCUCGCAGGCGGUUUCUUAAGUCUGAUGUGAAAGCCCCCGGCUCAACCGGGGAGGGUCAUUGGAAACUGGGGAACUUGAGUGCAGAAGAGGAGAGUGGAAUUCCACGUGUAGCGGUGAAAUGCGUAGAGAUGUGGAGGAACACCAGUGGCGAAGGCGACUCUCUGGUCUGUAACUGACGCUGAGGAGCGAAAGCGUGGGGAGCGAACAGGAUUAGAUACCCUGGUAGUCCACGCCGUAAACGAUGAGUGCUAAGUGUUAGGGGGUUUCCGCCCCUUACUGCUGCAGCUAACGCAUUAAGCACUCCGCCUGGGGAGUACGGUCGCAAGACUGAAACUCAAGGAAUUUGACGGCA
RNAcentral lists this ribosomal RNA (529 nucleotides) under Bacillus sp. B 20 RR-2016. RNAcentral's name for it is "bacterial SSU rRNA". It matches the Rfam family "Bacterial small subunit ribosomal RNA", at positions 401 to 918 of the family's 1533-position model. The record is from RNAcentral. Lineage: Bacteria; Bacillati; Bacillota; Bacilli; Caryophanales; Bacillaceae.